This 285-nucleotide long non-coding RNA is filed under the name Gossypium barbadense (sea-island cotton). RNAcentral describes it as "long non-coding RNA (GBAR_LNC015782)". Lineage: Eukaryota; Viridiplantae; Streptophyta; Magnoliopsida; Malvales; Malvaceae. The record is from RNAcentral.
AUUAAAAAACCUUUGAAUUACGAUUAAAUGGGUGAUGUUCAAAUAUAAAGAGAAAAGAAAAAAAAGAAGAAGAAGAGAGAUUCAUCUAAUAGAAUUGGAGUCUACGGUGGUCUCCUUCCAAAUCUGGAUGGGGGGUUUAACGCUUAGACUAAGGCAAUCAGAUGAUUGAAAAGGAGAUCAGGAGACAUUACCUCCUAGUUUGAAGGUGAAAUUUGAAGAGUUUGUGGCCAAUUUAUGCAAAACCAAUAUGAGAUUUGAAAAGAGAAGGAAGAUAGGAGAGUUUUG